This is a long non-coding RNA of Betta splendens (Siamese fighting fish), 957 nucleotides long. RefSeq lists it as uncharacterized. The transcript is spliced from 3 exons. Lineage: Eukaryota; Metazoa; Chordata; Actinopteri; Anabantiformes; Osphronemidae. The record is from RefSeq and is a predicted model, not a curated record.
CAGAUGUUACUGUCGCCGUUUACGGCCCCUUUCUUCACCAUUGUGGAUUAUUAUUGUCAACGUUAUCAAAGCCGGGUCUUGAUCCGAGACGACAGCGUAGGACGGAACCGGUUGUCAGCCGCAUAAAUCACGUCUCAACAGAGACGCAUGUCGCCGCUGAAAAGCUGAACCGCUCUACGGAGACACGGUUGAGCCGGAGCCGGAGUCGGAGUCGGAGUCGGAGCCAGAGCUUCCUCACACGCAGGCAGAUGACCCCAUAGACGCGUGCCGAUGGUUCAGCCUCCGGGGACCAUGAGGCGGCCGUCUGCUGCUGUCACGCUACUGUACAUGGCUCCACAGCGUGGAAGCAAAGCGGGGAUCAUGAUCGACCUCUCCCAACCUAGACGGAAGCUAACGCUAACACCCCUCUGGCAAGACGCUGAGCUGCAUCAGGACCCCAACCAUCAAGCAUCAACCGUAAGCUUCCUCCCAGCUGCAGCUGGUGUCAUUAACAGCACCACGGCCCGUCGCCGCUGGCACAUUCUCUGACCCUACUGUCCUCUAACGCCCCUAAUCUUGCUGUGCUGCUCUUUUGCUACUUUCUUUAUUAUAUUUCUGUAUAUACACCAAUCAGGCAUAGCAUUAAAACCCCUGGAAGAAUGUGCUGGAGGAAGGCCCCACUUUAAAGCAAGCUUCAUAACCUUCCAUGGGUCACGACAUAGACAGGAGUCUAACUUAUGUCUGAUUGCUGUAUAUUCAUGUUAUAUUUAUGUAUGUCCACCCUUCCUUCCUUUGCUGCUCACAAAGAGCUCUACUCCCUGUACAGGAAUCCUUUUUACCCAAGAAGUGCGACUUGAAUCUAAGCCUCGCUGCCUGUGUUUGCCACUUAGUUUCCUCCUAUUUUCUUUUUUUUUUUUCAUUUUGUGAAGGAGCGAUCAAAGCGGCCUUCCACAAGAGUUUCCCACUGUUACCGUCAAC